Molecule: ribosomal RNA, 497 nt
Filed under: uncultured bacterium
Lineage: Bacteria
Description: partial 16S ribosomal RNA
Rfam family: Bacterial small subunit ribosomal RNA
Source: RNAcentral
GAUGAACGCUGGCGGCGUGCCUAGUACAUGCAAGUCGAGCGAACAGACGAGGAGCUUGCUCCUCUGACGUUAGCGGCGGACGGGUGAGUAACACGUGGAUAACCUGCCUAUAAGACUGGGAUAACUUCGGGAAACCGGAGCUAAUACCGGAUAAUAUAUUGAACCGCAUGGUUCAAUAGUGAAAGACGGUUUUGCUGUCACUUAUAGAUGGAUCCGCGCCGCAUUAGCUAGUUGGUAAGGUAACGGCUUACCAAGGCAACGAUGCGUAGCCGACCUGAGAGGGUGAUCGGCCACACUGGAACUGAGACACGGUCCAGACUCCUACGGGAGGCAGCAGUAGGGAAUCUUCCGCAAUGGGCGAAAGCCUGACGGAGCAACGCCGCGUGAGUGAUGAAGGUCUUCGGAUCGUAAAACUCUGUUAUUAGGGAAGAACAAAUGUGUAAGUAACUAUGCACGUCUUGACGGUACCUAAUCAGAAAGCCACGGCUAACUACGUG